RNAcentral lists this ribosomal RNA (248 nucleotides) under uncultured bacterium. RNAcentral describes it as "partial 16S ribosomal RNA". It matches the Rfam family "Bacterial small subunit ribosomal RNA", at positions 28 to 261 of the family's 1533-position model. The record is from RNAcentral.
AACGAACGCUGGCGGCGGGGCUUAGGCAUGCAAGUCGCGGGCGAAAGUCGCAAGAUGAGUAGACCGGCGUAAGGGUGAGUAAUGGGUAGUCAACGUACCCUGGUGACGCGGAUAAUUCUCCGAAAGGGGAGGUAAUACGCGAUGAGGCCACAGGACCUGCGGGUCUAGGGGUCAAAGGGCGGGGAGUCCUUCGGGACCGUGCCGCACUGGGAGCGGACGACCUCCGAUUAGCUAGUUGGCGGGGUAAC